GACGAACGCUGGCGGCGUGCUUAACACAUGCAAGUCGAACGGAAAGGCCCUGCUUUUGUGGGGUGCUCGAGUGGCGAACGGGUGAGUAACACGUGAGUAACCUGCCCUUGACUUUGGGAUAACUUCAGGAAACUGGGGCUAAUACCGGAUAGGAGCUCCUGCUGCAUGGUGGGGGUUGGAAAGUUUCGGCGGUUGGGGAUGGACUCGCGGCUUAUCAGCUUGUUGGUGGGGUAGUGGCUUACCAAGGCUUUGACGGGUAGCCGGCCUGAGAGGGUGACCGGCCAAAUGGGGACUGAGAUACGGCACAGACUGCUACGGGAGGCAGCAGUGGGGAAUAUUGCAAAAUGGGCGGAAGCCUGAUGCAGCAACGCAGCGUGCGGGAUGACGGCCUUCGGGUUGUAAACCGCUUUCGCCUGUGACGAAGCGUGAGUGACGGUAAUGGGUAAAGAAGCACCGGCUAACUACGUG
Molecule: ribosomal RNA, 468 nt
Filed under: uncultured bacterium
Lineage: Bacteria
Description: partial 16S ribosomal RNA
Rfam family: Bacterial small subunit ribosomal RNA
Source: RNAcentral